CGGAAGUGCAGUCCACCCUUCAGAAACCUGAGCAGCUGUCCUGCACCUUUCCUGGAGGUUCAUAUCCUUCCUGAGCUGUGCCCACAGGUAUACAAUAUGAUGAUGUUCAUCACUGGGAAUUUGUACAAAGCUGCUCGCUCGGUGGAAGAGGACGACUACCCCCGAUAGAGGAGGCCCAUUUCCUCAGUCAAGCAGCUGUGCUCCCCUGCUAGAAUCUCCAAACAAGCUCACAUAGAAAAGGCACCAGAGUCACCAUCACAGAGCCAUGCUGUACAACUAUCCUCUUAGAUGAAAUCAGCACACCCACCUCGGUGGAUUCUGGUUCCUGGCCAAGCCCCCCCAUGGAUCCAAGCACCAAGCCCA
Molecule: long non-coding RNA, 363 nt
Filed under: Heterocephalus glaber (naked mole-rat)
Lineage: Eukaryota; Metazoa; Chordata; Mammalia; Rodentia; Bathyergidae
Description: lncRNA (ENSHGLG00100045269.1)
Source: RNAcentral